CUGGUUGGCUGAAGCAGUUGCCACCUGGCCAACCGGCCAAAAACUGCCAUGUCACCAACAGCCUAGGCCUGCUCCCCAGAGGCCCUGACUGUGUAGUAAUACAAUCAAGGGAGAUACGAGAAAAGAGGAAUGGAAGUCCAAGCAGCUCAGAGGAGUGAGAAGGACCCAGGAGCCCAUGACUUCUCGUAACAAGGAUGAAAUAAUUUCUUACUCAAAAGCAUCUUGCCAAGACUAGCUUUGAGCUGCUCUUCUCUCAGUCCUCAAGGGCUGUUAGACCAAGGUUACUUAAAAGAAGUAGUCAUCUAAAGUAGACACAUGAGGGAAGUCUUAGACAUUUAUAAGAAUAAAUAUGAAAGAAACUAA
This is a long non-coding RNA of Passer domesticus (house sparrow), 363 nucleotides long. RefSeq lists it as uncharacterized. The record is from RefSeq and is a predicted model, not a curated record. Lineage: Eukaryota; Metazoa; Chordata; Aves; Passeriformes; Passeridae. The transcript is spliced from 2 exons.